CAAGGUUCAGAGAGGAGGGUUGUUCUUUUAACUCCAGCCUUGAUUUUCGAAGAGGUAAGUUGUAGCUUGAACUUCCCCAUUCUUCCAUAGUUCACCUGCAUUCGUUAAGGAAUCAUUUUAUUUCAGUUAUUCUCCUUCUGAAAUCAAUAGCAGCAGCCACCAAACACCAAACAAUUACAAGGUAAUUGCUAAACUCAGUUAUUCUAGUCAAUGUUACAUGCUCAUACCCAUCAAGGCAUCUUUUAACUAAAAAAAUAACUGAGUUCAUAAAUGAGUCUAUAUACUUAAGGGGCUUAGCAAUCACAAAGUCAGUAAGAACUCUUAUGAUAUAGAAACAACUACAUGCUUAGUUUAAUCUCUUGCAUAAUCGAAAAUAGGAAUCAAGAUGAUUUAUGGCCUGCACCAAAUUGGAAAAACAACUAGGCGUCGCGAACCAUGUACAGAUAUGCAAUAGAGCCUCCCAGCAACAUAUAUGCAAUAAUAAAAUGGCAGCAAGAAGUGAGUGACGUAUACAAAACAAAUCCCUAUUAUACUGUAGAAAUAAGUUCGAACUUAGCUUUGCCUUGAAUGAUGCUGGCUCGCCGGAGUUCGAGCAGGGGCAGCGAUGGUUCAGAAGCCGGAGCAGCGGCUUCAGCAAGAUAGUAUCUUGCUGAAGAAUGGGGAGAGCGGCGCCAGGGACAAACGGCGACCGCUAGUCGCUGGGUUUACAGACCCAACAACGACGACUGAUCUGCUACAACACGGGGAAGAGAGGAGCAGUCGAAUUUGUUUCCGGUUGAGUAAUUUAGCGUCGGCCUCGCCGGAUUUUCAGAUUCGAGGUGACGGCGCUGCGAUUUCAGAGAAAGAGCCAAGGGCACGACGACUCCCAACGACCCUCGCCGAUUCUGAACCAGCAGCAGCGUAGCUGAACCGAGAGGGGACGACGCCGGGGUUAGACACGGAGACAGCCAAUGCUGGAUGGAGCUGGCGGAAGUUGAACGGCCGGGGAAGGAGAAGCCGACUGGAGUUGAAAGGGAAGGCCGAUCUGAUUUUGGGGGAGAAAACCCGUUUGAAACUUCAAGGGAGAAUUGGGGCUUUGCUUUUCCUUCGUGGAAGAGACGAGGAGCGAGGCGGGCUGCUGGAGAUCAGACCAGCGACCUCGAUUCCGGGCAAAGCAGCUGCAACUCCGGGCGGCGGCGUUACCUCAGCAGCGGCGACGUCCGGCGAUAGAGCUUCCACGCGUGUCGGCGGACGGCGGCGGUUGCACCAGAUCUUCACCGAUAUUAGAGGCAUCGACCACGCCGGUUGAGAGAAGCGGCACUGGAGUUUUAGAGCCUCGGAAACAGCGGCCUGCUUCGCCGGAGAAGAUCCGCGACGGCGGCGAUUUGAGAAAUGAAGGAGUUAGGGUUCAAUUCCUGAUUUUGAUUGAGCAUAACUUGAGUAGAGAGAAGACAAGGCCGUUGAAGGCGUAGGCUUCGCCGGAUUAUCAGGAGCCGCCGCCGCGACUGCGACAAUCGACGAACGGCGACAGAUUUGGGCAUGUGCCUGUGAGCGGAACCAAGCGAGAGAGGGAGAGGUUUGCUGCGAGUGUGUGUGUAAUUAGAGAGAGGAAGACCGAUUGAUGAGAGAGAGAAAUGGGCUGAUUGGAAUUGGGCCUUUAUUUUCUUAAUUAUGGGCCAUUAUUUUAUUUCUUUCUGUUAGGUCAGUUUAUUUAUUUCAGAUGGGCCGCAUUCUUGGACCAGUAUUAAUAGAAAUGGGCUGAUCUUUUUAAGAGCUGUAUAUUUAAGCUGGGCCAGAGUUAGAAUGGACUGUAUGAUUAGAUGGUUUCCAGGCCCAGUUCCUUAUCUAUUUAUUUGGGCUGUCCUAUGUUGCUCCCUUUAAAUAAUGAGGUUGCCUUAUUAUUUUAUUCUAGUUCGAUUAAAGACUAGUCUAGAUUUGAUUAAUUGGAUUCAGCUAUUUAUUAAUUUAGGACGAGGUUAUUAAUUAGUAAAUGGGUUUAGCAAACCUAUGAGAUGAGUGGUUAAUUAAGAUUAAUAACUCAAUCUCAUAAGACGAGCUGUAAUCAUAUAGUUUGGAUUAUUAUUAGAAUUUUUUUCAGAUUAUUAUCCCAGAAUAAUAAUUAAAGGAAUAUGAGUCAUGCAUAUUUAUUUUACGCAUUCUCAUUUAUUUGAGAAUUUUCAUCGAGCUAAGGUUUGACCUUAUGUUCUCGCAUUCAAGGUUAAGCGCAAGAGUAAGAGCUAGUCAAUGAGUUACUGAACUGUAGCAAAGCUUCACUAUCAGGUGGGCAUUACUUUUACUAUACGUAUAUAGAGAUCCCCUGCGUGUCGUAGGCCUCUUAUACGAAUGAAUGCAUGAGAUGAUCUAACUGUUAAUUUCAGUUUCAUAUAUAUCAAAUGAGUUUAAAUGUUACGUUCAAGCAAGUUAUUUCAUGACAAAAUCUUUGAGUUAAAGUUAUUUCAACUAUUGUCUUGCCAUAAAAUGUUUCAAUUUUAGUAUGAUAUCUAUCUGCUUUGGCUUUGCCAAUGAUGCAAUCGAAUUCGGGUCUUGAGCAGUUGAUAGCUAUCCUGCCAGGGCUAGUGUACACCAGUGACCGUGAGUCAUCUAGCGGGUUGGCCGGUCAAGUGACCGUGAGAGGUGGCCACCUCUCCGGCACACAGUUCCAGAUAUGAUAGAUUACAAGAGAACUUAGACUGCAGUCGAACUUUAAGAAUCACAAAUGAACUUAGUAAGCUUGGGCCUUUUUAGCGAAAAACUCCCUUGCUGUACUGUUUAUGAUGGCAUGACAAUUUACAGUUUUGAAGCAUGUAUUUUUAUACUUAGGCAUACGUGCCCACUGAGUACUUUUGUACUCAGCCCUGCAUAUAUUUCUAAAUGUGCAGGUUGAGUAGCUGCCGAUGGUGAUGAAGUGACGAACGGGACUCUUUUGUCUUAUUAUGUAUUAAUGAACUCUAGGGAUACAUGUCUUCAUACAUGUAAUCAGAACCUUAUUCCGCUGCGUACUCAGAAGUUUUAUGUUAUUUUGGCUAAGUCGGAGUUAUCCGAACUUACUAGUUAUUUGAGUCUAUACGACUAAACCUCCGUUAUAUUAUAAAUAUCCCUUUUGUUAAAAAUGAUGAAAUGCGAUUCUUCCUUGUUUGAUUAUUUCCCUUUCUACCCCGCUUCUAAUCUCCCUCCAUUAGUCACGGUUUCCCCGGCUUAAUUAUCCUUAAUUAGGGCCGG
Molecule: long non-coding RNA, 3198 nt
Filed under: Salvia miltiorrhiza (redroot sage)
Lineage: Eukaryota; Viridiplantae; Streptophyta; Magnoliopsida; Lamiales; Lamiaceae
Description: long non-coding RNA (SMIL_LNC004557)
Source: RNAcentral